GUGCGAAUGCUGACAUGAGUAGCGUUAAAGGGGGUGAAAAGCCCCCUCGCCGUAAGCGCAAGGUUUCCUACGCAACGUUCAUCGGCGUAGGGUGAGUCGGCCCCUAAGGCGAGGCAGAGAUGCGUAGCUGAUGGGAAACAGGUCAAUAUUCCUGUACCGAUCAAUAGUGCGAUGUGGGGACGGAGAAGGUUAGCUCAGCCAACUGUUGGAUAUGUUGGUUCAAGCCUGUAGUCGUGCCCGGUAGGCAAAUCCGCCGGGCUUAGAUGAGGGGUGAUAACGAGUGUGCUUGCACACGAAGUGAGUGAUACCCUGCUUCCAGGAAAAGCCAC
This 329-nucleotide ribosomal RNA is filed under the name Pseudomonas aeruginosa. Its description in RNAcentral is "partial 23S ribosomal RNA". It matches the Rfam family "Bacterial large subunit ribosomal RNA", at positions 1288 to 1621 of the family's 2925-position model. The record is from RNAcentral. Lineage: Bacteria; Pseudomonadati; Pseudomonadota; Gammaproteobacteria; Pseudomonadales; Pseudomonadaceae.